Molecule: ribosomal RNA, 466 nt
Filed under: uncultured bacterium
Lineage: Bacteria
Description: partial 16S ribosomal RNA
Rfam family: Bacterial small subunit ribosomal RNA
Source: RNAcentral
GACGAACGCUGGCGGCGUGCUUAACACAUGCAAGUCGAACGGAAAGGCCCUGCUUUUGUGGGGUGCUCGAGUGGCGAACGGGUGAGUAACACGUGAGUAACCUGCCCUUGACUUUGGGAUAACUUCAGGAAACUGGGGCUAAUACCGGAUAGGAGCUCCUGCUGCAUGGUGGGGGUUGGAAAGUUUCGGCGGUUGGGGAUGGACUCGCGGCUUAUCAGCUUGUUGGUGGGGUAGUGGCUUACCAAGGCUUUGACGGGUAGCCGGCCUGAGAGGGUGACCGGCCAAAUUGGGACUGGGAUACGGCCCAGACUCCUACGGGAGGCAGCAGUGGGGAAUAUUGCACAAUGGGCGGAAGCCUGAUGAAGCAACGCCGCGUGCGGGAUGACGGCCUUCGGGUUGUAAACCGCUUUCGCCUGUGACGAAGCGUGAGUGACGGUAAGGGGUAAAGAAGCACCGGCUAACUACG